GGAUGAUCUGGCGGCGACAUGUCACCCCACUGAUCGCCAGGUUUGAUUCAGCUGAUCUGUCUGGCUACGUGGGUGUCUCCUUCCAUUUCCUCAGUCAAGGGUAUAUAUAUGAGUAGCUGCUCUCCCCUUCUAGAACCUCCAAACAAGCUCUCAAAACACUGCUGUCCAUAAAUGUUUGAUGGAGUGGGGAAUAAGGAUUAAUUUCCUACUCCUUCCCUGUGGUGGGUCUUUAUUUAGG
Molecule: small nuclear RNA, 238 nt
Filed under: Heterocephalus glaber (naked mole-rat)
Lineage: Eukaryota; Metazoa; Chordata; Mammalia; Rodentia; Bathyergidae
Description: 7SK RNA
Rfam family: 7SK RNA
About the family: 7SK was discovered as an abundant small nuclear RNA in the mid-70s but a possible function has only recently been suggested. Two independent studies have found that 7SK RNA binds the CDK9/cyclin T complex (known as elongation factor P-TEFb).
Source: Rfam by way of RNAcentral